AACAGGAUUAGAUACCCUGGUAGUCCAUGCCGUAAACGUUGGGCACUAGGUGUGGGGGACAUUCCACGUUUUCCGCGCCGUAGCUAACGCAUUAAGUGCCCCGCCUGGGGAGUACGGCCGCAAGGCUAAAACUCAAAGGAAUUGACGGGGGCCCGCACAAGCGGCGGAGCAUGCGGAUUAAUUCGAUGCAACGCGAAGAACCUUACCAAGGCUUGACAUGAACCGGUAAUACCUGGAGACAGGUGCCCCGCUUGCGGUCGGUUUACAGGUGGUGCAUGGUUGUCGUCAGCUCGUGUCGUGAGAUGUUGGGUUAAGUCCCGCAACGAGCGCAACCCUCGUUCUAUGUUGCCAGCACGUGAUGGUGGGGACUCAUAGGAGACUGCCGGGGUCAACUCGGAGGAAGGUGGGGACGACGUCAAAUCAUCAUGCCCCUUAUGUCUUGGGCUUCACGCAUGCUACAAUGGCCGGUACAAAGGGUUGCGAUACUGUGAGGUGGAGCUAAUCCCAAAAAGCCGGUCUCAGUUCGGAUUGGGGUCUGCAACUCGACCCCAUGAAGUCGGAGUCGCUAGUAAUCGCAGAUCAGCAACGCUGCGGUGAAUACGUUCCCGGGCCUUGUACACACCGCCCGUCAAGUCACGAAAGUUGGUAACACCCGAAGCCGGUGGCCUAACCCCUUGUGGGAGGGAGCUGUCGAAGGUGGGACUGGCGAUUGGGACUAAGUCGUAACAAGGUAGCCGUACCGGAAGGUGCGGCUGGAUCACCUCCUU
Molecule: ribosomal RNA, 767 nt
Filed under: uncultured bacterium
Lineage: Bacteria
Description: bacterial SSU rRNA
Rfam family: Bacterial small subunit ribosomal RNA
Source: RNAcentral